RNAcentral lists this transfer RNA (66 nucleotides) under Eristalinus vicarians. RNAcentral describes it as "tRNA-Cys". Lineage: Eukaryota; Metazoa; Arthropoda; Insecta; Diptera; Syrphidae. The record is from RNAcentral.
GGUCUUAUAGUCAAUAAAUGAUGUUAGAAUGCAAUUCUAAAGGAAUAAUAUAAAUUAUUAAGACUU